UCCCCUGCCGUAAAACCCCCCAUUUCUAAAGGUUGACCUCGGAUCAGGUAGGAAUACCCGCUGAACUUAAGCAUAUCAAUAAGC
This 84-nucleotide ribosomal RNA is filed under the name Collodiscula bambusae. RNAcentral describes it as "partial 28S ribosomal RNA". Lineage: Eukaryota; Fungi; Ascomycota; Sordariomycetes; Xylariales. The record is from RNAcentral.